GGUGAGCAUCGCGGUGGGCUGUGCCACCCGCAACAGGACGGUGCCCUUCUGCAGCACUUUUGCAGCCUUCUUCACGCGGGCCUUUGACCAGAUUCGCAUGGCCGCCAUCUCUGAGAGCAACAUCAACCUCUGCGGCUCCCACUGCGGCGUUUCCAUCGGGGAAGACGGGCCCUCCCAGAUGGCCCUGGAAGAUCUGGCUAUGUUUCGGUCAGUCCCCACAUCAACUGUCUUUUACCCAAGUGAUGGUGUUGCUACAGAGAAGGCAGUGGAACUAGCCGCCAAUACAAAGGUAGGUCUCAUGGCUGUUCUUUCUCCUGCUGGCAGCCAUCGCUUCCCGAGGGAAACAGAAGAGGAGGCCAGAGCUGGUCACUGCUGCCCCAGGGUGUGUUUCCUGACCUUGCCCCUGGUGUUUGUGUAGCUUGUGGAAGUUAGACAAGAAAAAAUGAAAUACACGCCCCACUUACUGCCUCGUGGCAGACAUUGUCAACUGAUUGCCACAGUCUGUCUCUGCUGAGAAUCCUGGCAGCCUAGGCUGGUCCGGCAGUUGACACCUCUCUACCCUCCUGAGUUGGGUUCUCCAAGACAGGCAGGGAUGAGCUGAGCCCUGUGGUCCAGG
This 616-nucleotide small RNA is filed under the name Pongo abelii (Sumatran orangutan). RNAcentral's name for it is "retained intron". Lineage: Eukaryota; Metazoa; Chordata; Mammalia; Primates; Hominidae. The record is from RNAcentral.